GCUGGGAGAUAAGAGCACUACAACACAAAUCAGUGCAAGAAAAUAAAAGAGAAGGAAAAGAAUGUGGAGUAAGAAAGAGGAGCUCUCUGUAAAGAAGAAUCUAAUUUUAUUUUGAUUAAAUAGUUCUUAAGUACAAGAGAAUGAAGAAAAGAUGCAAAAAAAAAAGAGAAGAAUACAAAAUUAGAGGUUUCAGACCUCUGGAGCAGAAGUGGAGGAGCUCGAUGGCCCCAG
Molecule: long non-coding RNA, 231 nt
Filed under: Elaeis guineensis (African oil palm)
Lineage: Eukaryota; Viridiplantae; Streptophyta; Magnoliopsida; Arecales; Arecaceae
Description: long non-coding RNA (EGUI_LNC077062)
Source: RNAcentral